AAACCGCUAGGGGUUAAGCCCGAUGAACCUGAAUAUCUGAAUGAGAAAUUCAAUACUAUUUUGUUAUUUAUCUAAACAAUAAAUAAUCGAUGGUAUGCACUUUUCUCAUAGUAGGACAUUGCGAUCCAUUAGUAUAUCUCUUUGAGAUGGUUUAUCAUACGGCCUGCUAGUUAGUUUAGCCUAUCUGCAAUACUUGUAUUGUAUGGUUAAUACUAUUGUGGUGUCCUGGUAAACAGCUGAUGGAGCUUAACAAUCAUGCAGCCAUGCAAAUGUAUCACGAUUUUUAUAUAUUUAUAUAUUUAAAUGCAGUGAUCGCAUGUAUUUGAUUAGCAAUGCGAUAGAUUUGGGAUACCUUCGGGACCCGUCUUGAAACACGGACCAAGAAGUCUAACAUGUGUGUAAGUCAUUGGGUAUUUUGUUGAAACCUAAAGGCGAAAUUAAAAUAACUAUUUUAUGGGAUUACAAGUAGUCUAUAAUGACUACUUCUCCAUCCCGGGGCGUUCUUAUUGAACAUGGUUUAAGCAAUUAGACCCUCUGUUCUAGAGCGUACCUUGAACAUACAUGCUGUGACCC
Molecule: ribosomal RNA, 573 nt
Filed under: Grzegorzekia collaris
Lineage: Eukaryota; Metazoa; Arthropoda; Insecta; Diptera; Mycetophilidae
Description: eukaryotic LSU rRNA
Rfam family: Eukaryotic large subunit ribosomal RNA
Source: RNAcentral